RNAcentral lists this microRNA (22 nucleotides) under Branchiostoma floridae (Florida lancelet). Its description in RNAcentral is "bfl-miR-71-3p". Its record names the gene bfl-miR-71-3p. The record is from miRBase by way of RNAcentral. RNAcentral also lists the same sequence under 2 other names. Lineage: Eukaryota; Metazoa; Chordata; Leptocardii; Amphioxiformes; Branchiostomatidae.
CCCAUUUCCCUGUCUUUCAACA